Prunus persica (peach) is the source of this 105-nucleotide small nucleolar RNA. It matches the Rfam family "Small nucleolar RNA Z107/R87". From Rfam's summary of the family: Z107 and R87 are members of the C/D class of snoRNA which contain the C (UGAUGA) and D (CUGA) box motifs. Most of the members of the box C/D family function in directing site-specific 2'-O-methylation of substrate RNA NCBI's taxonomy places the organism in Eukaryota, Viridiplantae, Streptophyta, Magnoliopsida, Rosales, Rosaceae. The record is from Rfam.
GAUGGCGGUGAUGACCCAAUGAAAUUCAAGCUCAACAGACCGGAAUGCAGGCUUCUCUUUCAUAGAGAAGUUUGCGUGUCGACAACCCCGCUGAACUGAGCCAUC